AGGAAUAUUGGUCAAUGGCCGCAGGGCUGAACCAGCCAAGUCGCGUGAGGGAUGACGGUCCUAUGGAUUGUAAACCUCUUUUGUCAGGGAGCAAAGGGCGCCACGUGUGGCGUUUUGCGAGUACCUGAAGAAAAAGCAUCGGCUAACUCCGUGCCAGCAGCCGCGGUAAUACGGAGGAUGCGAGCGUUAUCCGGAUUUAUUGGGUUUAAAGGGUGCGCAGGCGGAAUGUCAAGUCAGCGGUAAAAUUUCGGGGCUCAACCCCGUCGUGCCGUUGAAACUGGCGUUCUUGAGUGAGCGAGAAGUAUGCGGAAUGCGUGGUGUAGCGGUGAAAUGCAUAGAUAUCACGCAGAACUCCGAUUGCGAAGGCAGCAUACCGGCGCUCAACUGACGCUCAUGCACGAAAGCGUGGGUAUCGAACAGGAUUAGAUACCCUGGUAGUCCACGCAGUAAACGAUGAAUACUAACUGUCCGGGCCGAAUGAGGUCUGGGUGGUACAGCGAAAGCGUUAAGUAUUCCACCUGGGGAGUACGCCGGCAACGGUGAAACUCAAAGGAAUUGACGGGGGCCCGCACAAGCGGAGGAACAUGUGGUUUAAUUCGAUGAUACGCGAGGAACCUUACCCGGGCUCAAACGACGGAUGAAUGUUUUUGAAAGGAGGCAGUCCUACGGGACAUCCGUCGAGGUGCUGCAUGGUUGUCGUCAGCUCGUGCCGUGAGGUGUCGGCUUAAGUGCCAUAACGAGCGCAACCCCCAUCGCCAGUUACCAGCAAGUAAAGUUGGGGACUCUGGCGAGACUGCCGGCGCAAGCUGCGAGGAAGGCGGGGAUGACGUCAAAUCAGCACGGCCCUUACGUCCGGGGCGACACACGUGUUACAAUGGCAGGCACAGAGAGAAGCGACAUGGCGACAUGAAGCGGAACUGUCAAAACCUGUCUCAGUUCGGAUUGGAGUCUGCAACCCGACUCCAUGAAGCUGGAUUCGCUAGUAAUCGCGCAUCAGCCACGGCGCGGUGAAUACGUUCCCG
RNAcentral lists this ribosomal RNA (1022 nucleotides) under uncultured bacterium. RNAcentral describes it as "bacterial SSU rRNA". It matches the Rfam family "Bacterial small subunit ribosomal RNA", at positions 357 to 1376 of the family's 1533-position model. The record is from RNAcentral.